CCCCACCUCCCAGAGCACAUCUAUAAACACCUAAGUUCCAGACAGGAGCUCCAAGCAUGGGCUCUUUUUCUUGGAGGUAACACGUGCCUGCGGUUCUCAGUAGGAGAGCCUUCAGGAAGGCUUGGUUGGGGUGUAGGGAGAAGGAGAGAGAAAUCUAUGCCUGCUUUUCAGUCCUAACAUCUCUAACGUGUACACUGAUGGCAAAGUAAGAGCUGAUCCAAUUCCUGCACUUCCUAUAAAAUAACUCCUUGUGAUUUACCUAGAGUUCCAAGAAGAUUUUCUUAAAUCUGGAAAGUAAGUGUGAAAGAAGACUGAGCCAACUCUCAGUUCUAGACAGUAACAUUGCUACUGUACCAACAGCUCAGUCGGUGCACUGAAACAACAGUACCACACAAGUUAAUGGGCUACCACCUGGACUCUUUACCACACUGCAACACUUACUUAUAUGGAAAUCAGUUGUUGAAAAAUAUCUUAAUGCAGUCACAGCAAUGUCAGAAGCAUUACACCUUAAAAGAAGUCAAAUUAUUUCUGUGCCCUCUCUCAUAGUACAAGAACCGUAACAACUUACAUUGACCCUUCCAUGGGGGCAGUUAUGUAUUUGUCAAGUCAGUAUUUGUGUUCCUGAUAGAGAAUAGGUAAGUGUAGGGAAAUCCUCAAAAAUGUAGAGGAGAGAGUUGUCUCUGCACAAACUUGCACCAGUUUUGUUAAGCCUGUGCAACUCACUUUACAGCAAUUCUCACUGCAUUUGGAAGAGGCUUGUUUCUAUUUAGCUUGAGCCCAUUUAAAUUAAACCGGAAUAAGCAGAGUCACCCAGCCUUUUGCACUAGGACAGUUAGGUUGGGUUAAAAAAAAUCAUGUUAAGUGGGUGCAACUACAUGUAGACAAGCCCAGAGAUUACCAUGGAGAAGAAAGUGAGAAGAAGAACAGAAGGAAAAAAAGAAAAGAAAAAAACAACAGCUGCAGGAAUAGGCACAUGUGGAAGGAAUAUCUUUCAUUCCACCUCCUCAAUAAUCUUGCUGUCUAGUCUGAUUUGACAUAUUUCUAGGUCCAAGCCAAGUUCCUGUCUCAUUCCACCAGUGGUUCUUUUUAUCUCCAGCUUUCUGAUUCUGCCCAUCAUUUUAAAACGGGUAGGUUGUUUUUGGUUUUGAUGCAAGUCGAGACUGUUAGGUAGUGGUCUGGGAUGUCGUUUUCAACGUACGGUAAGAUGAUUCAGUUAAUUUCAUCCUUCCAUUGACUCCCAGCAGCUCUAGUUAUGCAGCAUCCUCAAAGGAAACUCUUUUGGACCCUUGAAAUCAUUAUUCAUUUAUUGCUGGUGAGUGUGUAUAGCUACAUAAGAAAUACACUCUUGGAAGAUGCUGUGACCAAGCCCAAAACAAUCUUUGCGGCAUCUAUGGCAGCAUACUUAAACAUACACAAAACUUAUAAAUAGCAUAGACUACAGUUACCAGGACAGGUGGAGACCGGUGAGGCGAUACAGAAAAAGAAUCUAACCAUCAAACACAUCACCGUCAGGCACGACCAAAUUAUUACAAAACUUGUGAGUGUACUGACUGCUUGCAGGCCAGGUUCUCUGUGGCAUCCUGCCAGGAAGUUUUCAGGGAACCGAGAUGCCCUGACUCUCCCAGGCCCAGCUAGGGCACCCUUUAGGCUGCUCCAGUUUACACGAGGGUCUGUGCACUGGCCAGAGACAGGUGUAGUAAAUAUGUUCCAGCUAGUUCUCCUCCUGCCUUGACAUGCCGCCUGUGCCAGGUCCAUGGGGAGGGAGGCACAAGAAAUGCUAAGUUAGCUCUAUGCCCUCUUGCAAGAAGUAUUUGCAAACUGUUUCUGCUUCUUUUAUGCUGCCUGAGAGGAGAACAAGGAAUCUGCAGUGUGCAGAGGGAUGGAUUUUUAUCCCAGUACUGUGGCUAUCUAGGAGUACUGUGUCUUGGGACCCCCUCGCUCAAAUUACUUCGGACUUGGAGUAUCCUGCAACCCAGCAAAGCACAGCGAUUCUCAAGGCCCAAAUAUCCGAGAGGACUUAGACAAAAAAAAAA
Gavialis gangeticus (Gharial) is the source of this 2033-nucleotide long non-coding RNA. RefSeq lists it as uncharacterized. The record is from RefSeq and is a predicted model, not a curated record. Lineage: Eukaryota; Metazoa; Chordata; Crocodylia; Gavialidae. The transcript is spliced from 2 exons.